Molecule: transfer RNA, 74 nt
Filed under: Mariniblastus sp.
Lineage: Bacteria; Pseudomonadati; Planctomycetota; Planctomycetia; Pirellulales; Pirellulaceae
Description: tRNA-Val
Rfam family: tRNA
About the family: Transfer RNA (tRNA) molecules are approximately 80 nucleotides in length. Their secondary structure includes four short double-helical elements and three loops (D, anti-codon, and T loops). Further hydrogen bonds mediate the characteristic L-shaped molecular structure. tRNAs have two regions of fundamental functional importance: the anti-codon, which is responsible for specific mRNA codon recognition, and the 3' end, to which the tRNAs corresponding amino acid is attached (by aminoacyl-tRNA synthetases). tRNAs cope with the degeneracy of the genetic code in two manners: having more than one tRNA (with a specific anti-codon) for a particular amino acid; and 'wobble' base-pairing, i.e. permitting non-standard base-pairing at the 3rd anti-codon position.
Source: RNAcentral
AGGCGAUUAGCUCAGUUGGCCAGAGCUCCAUUUUCACACAUUGGAAGUCGCAGGUUCGAAUCCUGCAUCGCCUA